Cervus elaphus (red deer) is the source of this 727-nucleotide long non-coding RNA. RefSeq lists it as uncharacterized. The transcript is spliced from 3 exons. The record is from RefSeq and is a predicted model, not a curated record. Lineage: Eukaryota; Metazoa; Chordata; Mammalia; Artiodactyla; Cervidae.
CAUGAAGCUGCCUGAUAAAAGGACAGAGGAUUUCCUUUGGGGUGAUGAAAAUAUUCUACGUGCGGGGAUGGUUGCACAACUCUUUGAACAGAGGGAACAACUAUGGCCGUGCCGUCUUUAAAGUGAUGACUGAUAGCACGGAAACCCUCUCUCAGCGCAGCCGGUGACCACAGCCCCGCAGCCCCCAUCAGCAUGACCGGUACCACCUGCCGAGUUUGACCAGAGGAAUCUGUCUGGGACGCACUCACAGAAGAGGUCCCGGCUGGGCGAGCUUGUGACUGGGGUUUUCUCUCUAGUUUCCAUGUGGUUUUGUUACUUCUGUCAAGAUAGCUUGGCUUUGUGCUAAAACACUGGAGGCCCCACAAGCUCCACGUCGGCCCAAGUUCAGACGUGCUCCUUCCCCCGCCCACGUCCGCCGCACUUAACUCAAACGCUGUUAAUCACACGGAACAACGGCUGAAGCAGAACCGGAACCGCAGGGAGGAAAAUGUCUCCAUGAUGCAUCACUAAGGGGAAAGACAACAGACGAAGCAAAAUGGAAGGACAAGAUGCAGAUAUGCACAGCCUGCCACCUUCCAGGUUAAAGAAUUUUCAGCGAGCUCCACUGGUGUUCACCUAAAAAGACUACAUUUCCUGGUCUCCGCUGAAGCUAGGUGGGCUUCCCUGGUGGCUAAGACAGUGAAGAAUCUGCCAGCAAUGCAGGAGACCCAAGUUUGAUCCCUGGUUG